UACGGAGGGUGCAAGCGUUAUCCGGAUUCAUUGGGUUUAAAGGGUGCGUAGGCGGGGUGGUAAGUCAGUGGUGAAAUCCUGCAGCUCAACUGUAGAAUUGCCAUUGAUACUGCCAUUCUUGAGUGCGCUUGAAGUAGGCGGAAUGUGCCGUGUAGCGGUGAAAUGCUUAGAUAUGGCACAGAACACCAAUUGCGAAGGCAGCUUACUAAGGAGAUACUGACGCUGAGGCACGAAAGCGUGGGGAUCGAACAGG
RNAcentral lists this ribosomal RNA (253 nucleotides) under uncultured bacterium. RNAcentral's name for it is "partial 16S ribosomal RNA". It matches the Rfam family "Bacterial small subunit ribosomal RNA", at positions 524 to 776 of the family's 1533-position model. The record is from RNAcentral.